RNAcentral lists this ribosomal RNA (405 nucleotides) under uncultured bacterium. RNAcentral's name for it is "partial 16S ribosomal RNA". It matches the Rfam family "Bacterial small subunit ribosomal RNA", at positions 29 to 526 of the family's 1533-position model. The record is from RNAcentral.
AUUGACGCUGGCGGCAGGCCUAACACAUGCAAGUCGGACGAGCGGCGGACGGGUGAGUAAUGUAUGGGGAUCUGCCUGAUGGAGGGGGAUAACUACUGGAAACGGUAGCUAAUACCGCAUACCAUCAGAUGAACCCAUAUGGGAUUAGCUAGUAGGUGGGGUAAAGGCUCACCUAGGCGACGAUCCCUAGCUGGUCUGAGAGGAUGAUCAGCCACACUGGAACUGAGACACGGCCCAGACUCCUACGGGAGGCAGCAGUGGGGAAUAUUCGGCAAUGGACGAAAGUCUGAUCGAGCAACGCCGCGUGAGUGAAGAAGGUCUUCGGGUUGUAAAACACUUUUGUCAGAGAAGCGUUAUCCAACCAAAAAGCCCCGGCUAACUACGUGCCAGCAGCCGCGGUAAUUC